AUUGAACGCUGACGGCAGGCCUAACACAUGCAAGUCGGACGGUAGCACAGAGAGCUUGCUCUUGGGUGACGAGUGGCGGACGGGUGAGUAAUGUCUGGGGGUCUGCCCGAUAGGGGGGGAUAACCACUGGAAACGGUGGCUAAUACCGCAUAACGACGCAAGACCAAAGAGGGGGACCUUCGGGCCUCUCACUAUCGGAUGAACCCAGAUGGGAUUAGCUAGUAGGCGGGGUAAUGGCCCACCUAGGCGACGAUCCCUAGCUGGUCUGAGAGGAUGACCAGCCACACUGGAACUGAGACACGGUCCAGACUCCUACGGGAGGCAGCAGUGGGGAAUAUUGCACAAUGGGCGCAAGCCUGAUGCAGCCAUGCCGCGUGUAUGAAGAAGGCCUUCGGGUUGUAAAGUACUUUCAGCGGGGAGGAAGGCGGUGCGGUUAAUAACCGUACCGAUUGACGUUACCCGCAGAAGAAGCACCGGCUAACUCCGUGCCAGCCGCCGCCGUAA
RNAcentral lists this ribosomal RNA (504 nucleotides) under uncultured bacterium. Its description in RNAcentral is "partial 16S ribosomal RNA". It matches the Rfam family "Bacterial small subunit ribosomal RNA", at positions 29 to 523 of the family's 1533-position model. The record is from RNAcentral.